This 483-nucleotide ribosomal RNA is filed under the name Triticum aestivum (bread wheat). Its description in RNAcentral is "partial small subunit ribosomal RNA". Lineage: Eukaryota; Viridiplantae; Streptophyta; Magnoliopsida; Poales; Poaceae. The record is from RNAcentral.
AAGACUUGGUUUAAUUCUCUUGCUCCUAGUUGUGUGCGUAAUCCCCAGGAUAUGAUUUAUUACUUCUCUGCUAAAUAUUUCCUUGCCCAUAAGAAACAAGCUGCCUUGCAGGAAAUAUAUAAUUUUGUGCAAAUCAAAGAAGAGAGUCUCCCACAAGCUUGGGAGAGGCUUCUCCGAUUACUUAAUGCUUUGCCUGAUCAUCCUCUUAAGAAAAAUGAAAUACUUGCUAUCUUUUAUAAUGGACUAACCGAUGCUUCCAAGGACUACUUGGAUAGUUGUGCUGGUUGUGUUUUCAGGGAAAGAACAGUCGACGAAGCUGAAUUACUAUUGAAUAAUAUAUUGACUAAUGAAAAUAAUUGGACUCUUCCUGAGCCAAUUCCUGAGGCAAUUCCUGAACCAAUUGAGCUGACUCCUGAGCCUAUUCCUAAACAGACUCCGAAGAAGAGAGGUGUUCUAUUUCUCAGUCCUGAAGAUAUGCAAGAG